GAUGAACGCUGGCGGCGUGCUUAACACAUGCAAGUCGAACGGUGAACACGGAGCUUGCUCUGUGGGAUCAGUGGCGAACGGGUGAGUAACACGUGAGCAACCUGCCCCUGACUCUGGGAUAAGCGCUGGAAACGGCGUCUAACACUGGAGAUGUGACGUGACCGCAUGGUCUGCGUGUGGAAAGAUUCGUCGGUUGGGGAUGGGCUCGCGGCCUAUCAGCUUGUUGGUGAGGUAAGGGCCCACCAAGUGUUCGAGGGGUAGCCGGCCUGAGAGGGUGACCGGCCACACUGGGACUGAGCCACGGCCCAGACUCCUACGGGAGGCAGCAGUGGGGAAUAUUGCACAAUGGGCGCAAGCCUGAUGCAGCAACGCCGCGUGAGGGAUGACGGCCUUCGGGUUGUAAACCUCUUUUAGCAGGGAAGAAGCGAAAGUGACGGUACCUGCAGAAAAAGCGCCGGCUAACUACGUG
This 469-nucleotide ribosomal RNA is filed under the name uncultured bacterium. RNAcentral's name for it is "partial 16S ribosomal RNA". It matches the Rfam family "Bacterial small subunit ribosomal RNA", at positions 28 to 507 of the family's 1533-position model. The record is from RNAcentral.